RNAcentral lists this ribosomal RNA (953 nucleotides) under Streptomyces sp. 11br. RNAcentral's name for it is "bacterial SSU rRNA". It matches the Rfam family "Bacterial small subunit ribosomal RNA", at positions 397 to 1355 of the family's 1533-position model. Lineage: Bacteria; Bacillati; Actinomycetota; Actinomycetes; Kitasatosporales; Streptomycetaceae. The record is from RNAcentral.
CCGCGUGAGGGAUGACGGCCUUCGGGUUGUAAACCUCUUUCAGCAGGGAAGAAGCGAAAGUGACGGUACCUGCAUAAGAAGCGCCGGCUAACUACGUGCCAGCAGCCGCGGUAAUACGUAGGGCGCAAGCGUUGUCCGGAAUUAUUGGGCGUAAAGAGCUCGUAGGCGGCUUGUCACGUCGAUUGUGAAAGCUCGGGGCUUAACCCCGAGUCUGCAGUCGAUACGGGCUAGCUAGAGUGUGGUAGGGGAGAUCGGAAUUCCUGGUGUAGCGGUGAAAUGCGCAGAUAUCAGGAGGAACACCGGUGGCGAAGGCGGAUCUCUGGGCCAUUACUGACGCUGAGGAGCGAAAGCGUGGGGAGCGAACAGGAUUAGAUACCCUGGUAGUCCACGCCGUAAACGGUGGGAACUAGGUGUUGGCGACAUUCCACGUCGUCGGUGCCGCAUCUAACGCAUUAAGUUCCCCGCCUGGGGAGUACGGCCGCAAGGCUAAAACUCAAAGGAAUUGACGGGGGCCCGCACAAGCAGCGGAGCAUGUGGCUUAAUUCGACGCAACGCGAAGAACCUUACCAAGGCUUGACAUACACCGGAAAGCAUUAGAGAUAGUGCCCCCCUUGUGGUCGGUGUACAGGUGGUGCAUGGCUGUCGUCAGCUCGUGUCGUGAGAUGUUGGGUUAAGUCCCGCAACGAGCGCAACCCUUGUUCUGUGUUGCCAGCAUGCCCUUCGGGGUGAUGGGGACUCACAGGAGACCGCCGGGGUCAACUCGGAGGAAGGUGGGGACGACGUCAAGUCAUCAUGCCCCUUAUGUCUUGGGCUGCACACGUGCUACAAUGGCCGAUACAAUGAGCUGCGAUACCGCAAGGUGGAGCGAAUCUCAAAAAGUCGGUCUCAGUUCGGAUUGGGGUCUGCAACUCGACCCCAUGAAGUUGGAGUUGCUAGUAAUCGCAGAUCAGCAU